Molecule: unclassified non-coding RNA, 199 nt
Filed under: plant metagenome
Description: partial contains small subunit ribosomal RNA and internal transcribed spacer 1
Rfam family: Eukaryotic small subunit ribosomal RNA (bases 1-46)
Source: RNAcentral
AAGUCAUAACAAGGUUUCUGUAGGUGAACCUGCAGAAGGAUCAUUAUUGAAUUGUUACAAAUGGGGGAAAGUUUCGACUUUCCUCUACACUCUUUAUUCCUAACACCUGUGAAUCGUUGCUGAGUUCGCUCAGUAGCAACAUUUUUUUUAUACACACAUAAUAGUUUUAGAACGUAAAAAAUAUAUAAUAAAAAUACAA